RNAcentral lists this long non-coding RNA (556 nucleotides) under Calidris pygmaea (Spoon-billed sandpiper). RNAcentral describes it as "lncRNA (ENSCPGG00000011554.1)". Lineage: Eukaryota; Metazoa; Chordata; Aves; Charadriiformes; Scolopacidae. The record is from RNAcentral.
ACAAGAUACUGUCAGGCUUUGAGUCUGAUAGGUUUUCUCAGAAUUUAGAAAGUCUGAAACUUACACCUACAAAAGCUAAUCAAUGUUUUGUAUCUAACAGACAACUGUAAGAAUUAUAUGUCUAAGCAGUGGAUGACUCUCCGGUGCCCAGGGAGAUUGAAGUAGGAUCAUCUUCAAAGAGCGCAAAGGAAAUGGAUGGGAGACAUGUUUGGUGUUCCUAAUCAUCAAUGAUGUGUUUUAUAGAGAUCCACUUCUGUAAAGACUUCUGUGCUGGGUGAAAUACAAGCAAAGAGGAAAAAACAAUUUUUCUCCAAUUCCUUGUUUAAAAAGCCGAACAUUCGCGAAAGCAGCUGGUCCCAGAGGUGGAAUGCUCCAAAACCCCAUUUGGAGCCAAGUACGUACAUUAUGGACUCGGUCCUGACACCACUUUAUAGAGAACAGACAAUGAGUUUUGGAUCAUGUAAGUACCUUUCCUCCCUGCAAAUAAGUUCCCUUCCCCCAUUCUUGUGGAAACAUCUCAGUCUGUAUUGGAAACAGAGGAUGUAAUUUAUUUUUA